AACGGCUGAACCAGCAACUUGGAAGAAUGUAUAGCGAAAGCUAAUUGCAUUAUUUGGUUUUAAUUAAAUUAGUGCAAUAUCGACUGUGUCGAAUAAAGUUCUAAAUAGAGUAAUGAUAAUGACACGUUCUAUUUAUUUGUCUUGACCAAUUCACGUGCCAGCAGUCGCGGCAACACGUGUAAGACUAGUGUUAUUCAUCUUUAAUAGGUUUAAAGGGUACUUAGACGGUAAAUCAAGCCCCUAUAGGGUACUAAUUUACUAGAGUUUUAUAGGAGAGGGGGAGUACUACUGGUGUAGAGAUGAAAUUUUGUGAUACCAUUAUUGGAACUGUCAACGGCGAAAGCAACCCUUUAUGUAUAAACUGACGUUGAAAGACGAAGGCUCGGUCAACUAACAGGAUUAGAUACCCUAGUAGUCCAGGCAGACAAUGAUGAAUGUCAUAGGCUAGAAACAAUAUUUUGCCUAUAAAUGAAAGUGUAAGCAUUCCACCUCAAGAGUAAUGCGGCAACGCAUAAACUGAAAUCAUUAGGCCGUUUCUGAAACCAGUAGUGAAGUAUGUUGUUUAAUUUGAUGAUCCGCAAAAAACCUUACCACAAUUUGAAUAUUUUUAUUUUUAUAAAAAUACAAGCGUUGCACGGCUGUCUUCAGUUAAUGUCGUGAGAUUUUGGUUAGUUCCAUAAAAUUAACGUAAACCCUUACUUUAUUUAUUUUUAUAGAGUAGUUCACCGCUAUAUUGGAUAUGAUAAAAGGGACUAUGACAAGUCAUCAUGACCUGA
This 776-nucleotide ribosomal RNA is filed under the name Chirleja buckii. Its description in RNAcentral is "SSU rRNA". It matches the Rfam family "Bacterial small subunit ribosomal RNA", at positions 340 to 1203 of the family's 1533-position model. Lineage: Eukaryota; Fungi; Ascomycota; Lecanoromycetes; Pertusariales; Icmadophilaceae. The record is from RNAcentral.